CCUUAUUCUCUUUCUUACUUCUCCUUCCUCUCUGUUCCUCUUCUCCCUUUCUCUGUCGAUCUCAGAGAUUUUUAUGCGUGAGAUGUUCAUAGAUAGUUAGUUAGCUUGACGAAUCGAAGAGAAUGGAGUUAGAACUGAAGUUGUUUGAACUCCAUGAAAAGAAGAAGAUGAUGUAGAUGUUGAAUUGAGGUUACGGUUUCUGGAGUUAGGGUUCUUGUAGAACCGAUGAUGGUAAAGUGACGUUCAUGGAUGAAGGAUUGAAGGGUUAUCACCGAAAUGAUGAAGUGAAGUUGUUCUGAAAGUGAAUCGAUUAAAGUUUUCAGAAGAGAUGGCGCGCAUGAAGAUAUUCGUUUCGUAGUACGAAGAUUUAGCAGAUUAAGAACGUUUAUGAAUCUUUUAUAUAUAUUUAUUCUUUAUUUACUCUGUAAAACUACACAUUAAUAUAUUCAUAUCACAAGAGAGUUCUUCGUUUAUACAA
Long non-coding RNA from Papaver somniferum (opium poppy), 478 nucleotides. RefSeq lists it as uncharacterized. The record is from RefSeq and is a predicted model, not a curated record. NCBI's taxonomy places the organism in Eukaryota, Viridiplantae, Streptophyta, Magnoliopsida, Ranunculales, Papaveraceae. The transcript is spliced from 2 exons.